Molecule: ribosomal RNA, 377 nt
Filed under: uncultured bacterium
Lineage: Bacteria
Description: bacterial SSU rRNA
Rfam family: Bacterial small subunit ribosomal RNA
Source: RNAcentral
UAAUACGGAGGGUGCGAGCGUUAAUCGGAAUUACUGGGCGUAAAGGGUGCGUAGGUGGUUUCUUAAGUUAUCUGUGAAAUUCCUGGGCUCAACCUGGGCAUGUCAGAUAAUACUGAAAGACUUGAGUAUAGGAGAGGGUAGUGGAAUUUCCGGUGUAGCGGUGAAAUGCGUAGAGAUCGGAAGGAACACCGGUGGCGAAGGCGGCUACCUGGCCUAAUACUGACACUGAGGCACGAAAGCGUGGGGAGCAAACAGGAUUAGAUACCCUGGUAGUCCACGCUGUAAACGAUGUCAACUAGCUGUUGGAUAUAUGAAUAUAUUUAGUAGCGCAGCAAACGCGAUAAGUUGACCGCCUGGGGAGUACGGUCGCAAGAUUA